GUAUAGGUUUAUAGGCACAAAGGCCAUUGAUUACAUUCUACGACAUACAUUGGGGUAUAUGAAGAAACAUAGGCCUGGAAAUGUAAGGAGAGACAUAAAGUCAAUUCCUCGAACCUGAAAUGCAAGGGCAUUCAGAAAGAUUACCCAGGUCUACAAAAGGUGCACAGGUGGAGAUAUAAAGAUGACAAGUGUGCACAUGCUCCCUAGAGAGCCAGCAACAACUCAUCAGGUUUAUUUCAAUAAUGAUCCUUCCGCAGGUUCACCUACGGAAA
Molecule: unclassified non-coding RNA, 272 nt
Filed under: uncultured fungus
Lineage: Eukaryota; Fungi
Description: sequence contains ITS1
Source: RNAcentral